RNAcentral lists this ribosomal RNA (678 nucleotides) under Opalina ranarum associated fungus Gp. RNAcentral describes it as "SSU rRNA". It matches the Rfam family "Eukaryotic small subunit ribosomal RNA", at positions 458 to 1143 of the family's 1831-position model. Lineage: Eukaryota; Fungi; Ascomycota; Eurotiomycetes; Eurotiales; Trichocomaceae. The record is from RNAcentral.
GGGGAGGUAGUGACAAUAAAUACUGAUACAGGGCUCCUUAGGGUCUUGUAAUUGGAAUGAGUACAAUUUAAAUCCCUUAACGAGGAACAAUUGGAGGGCAAGUCUGGUGCCAGCAGCCGCGGUAAUUCCAGCUCCAAUAGCGUAUAUUAAAGUUGUUGUGGUUAAAAAGCUCGUAGUUGAACCUUGGGCCUGGCUGGCCGGUCCGCCUCACCGCGUGCACUGGUCCGGCCGGGCCCUUCCCUCUGUGGAACCCCAUACCCUUCACUGGGCGUGGCGGGGAAACAGGACAUUUACUUUGAAAAAAUUAGAGUGCUCCAGGCAGGCCUAUGCUCGAAUACAUUAGCAUGGAAUAAUAAAAUAGGACGCGCGGUUCUAUUUUGUUGGUUUAUAGGACCGCCGUAAUGAUUAAUAGGGACAGUCGGGGGCAUCAGUAUUCAACUGUCAGAGGUGAAAUUCUUGGAUCAGUUGAAGACUAACUACUGCGAAAGCAUUUGCCAAGGAUGUUUUCAUUAAUCAGGAACGAAAGUUAGGGGAUCGAAGACGAUCAGAUACCGUCGUAGUCUUAACCAUAAACUAUGCCGACUAGGGAUCGGACGGUGUUAUUCAUGACCCGUUCGGCACCUUACGAGAAAUCAAAGUGCUUGGGCUCCAGGGGGAGUAUGGUCGCAAGGCUGAAAC